GUAGUUGACUCCGUGGCUCGAGACGACGCUGGCGGCGUGCUUAACACAUGCAAGUCGAACGGAAAGGCCUCUGCUUGCAGAGGUACUCGAGUGGCGAACGGGUGAGUAACACGUGGGUGAUCUGCCUUGCACUUCGGGAUAAGCCUGGGAAACUGGGUCUAAUACCGGAUAGGACCAUGCUUUAGUGUGUGUGGUGGAAAGUUUUUCGGUGCAAGAUGAGCCCGCGGCCUAUCAGCUUGUUGGUGGGGUAAUGGCCUACCAAGGCGACGACGGGUAGCCGGCCUGAGAGGGUGUACGGCCACAUUGGGACUGAGACACGGCCCAGACUCCUACGGGAGGCAGCAGUGGGGAAUAUUGCACAAUGGGCGCAAGCCUGAUGCAGCGACGCCGCGUGGGGGAUGAAGGCCUUCGGGUUGUAAACUCCUUUCGCUAGGGAAGAAGCCUUUUGGUGACGGUACCUGGAUAAGAAGCACCGGCUAACUACGUG
Molecule: ribosomal RNA, 487 nt
Filed under: uncultured Corynebacterium sp.
Lineage: Bacteria; Bacillati; Actinomycetota; Actinomycetes; Mycobacteriales; Corynebacteriaceae
Description: bacterial SSU rRNA
Rfam family: Bacterial small subunit ribosomal RNA
Source: RNAcentral